AAAACAGUAAGACUUUUAGACUAUACAAUGCAGAAUCAUUGGGUUUGUGAAGCAUUAUAUUGUCAUACAGAAAGCAAGACAUGGAACUCUUGAGUGUCUCAUAAAUACUAACAGAUUUUUUCCUCAUAGUUUAAAUAUUAUGAUGUCCUUUUCCACUUGUAUCUCCACUUGAAAGUGCCAACUACUGCAGCAUGAACUGAUUACUCAGCAAAGGAAUUCACUGUGGGAACUUUCAACAUUUUCAUUAAGAAGCAACAUACAUCUAUCCAGCUUGCACACUGCCUAGAACAUGCAGAACUCGCUGAGAAGGGAAACAAGGAAGGAAGAAAAGGAUUAAAGGACAGAGAGGGAGAGAGGAAGAGGAAAGAGUAGGUAUCAGUGAAGAAAUGGAGACUCAAGUUUCAGUUUACCGGGCA
RNAcentral lists this long non-coding RNA (416 nucleotides) under Fukomys damarensis (Damara mole-rat). RNAcentral's name for it is "lncRNA (ENSFDAG00000023539.1)". The record is from RNAcentral. Lineage: Eukaryota; Metazoa; Chordata; Mammalia; Rodentia; Bathyergidae.